UACGUAGGGUCCGAGCGUUGUCCGGAAUUAUUGGGCGUAAAGGGCUCGUAGGCGGAUUGUCGCGUCGGGAGUGAAAACACGGGGCUUAACCCCGUGCCUGCUUCCGAUACGGGCAGACUAGAGGUAUGCAGGGGAGAACGGAAUUCCUGGUGUAGCGGUGAAAUGCGCAGAUAUCAGGAGGAACACCGGUGGCGAAGGCGGUUCUCUGGGCAUUACCUGACGCUGAGGAGCGAAAGUGUGGGGAGCGAACAGG
RNAcentral lists this ribosomal RNA (253 nucleotides) under uncultured bacterium. Its description in RNAcentral is "partial 16S ribosomal RNA". It matches the Rfam family "Bacterial small subunit ribosomal RNA", at positions 524 to 776 of the family's 1533-position model. The record is from RNAcentral.